RNAcentral lists this ribosomal RNA (203 nucleotides) under uncultured Lactobacillus sp. RNAcentral describes it as "partial 16S ribosomal RNA". It matches the Rfam family "Bacterial small subunit ribosomal RNA", at positions 159 to 354 of the family's 1533-position model. The record is from RNAcentral. Lineage: Bacteria; Bacillati; Bacillota; Bacilli; Lactobacillales; Lactobacillaceae.
GAUGCUAAUACCGGAUAAUAACAGAUGAUGCCUAUCAACUGUUUAAAAGAUGGUUCUGCUAUCACUCUUGGAUGGACCUGCGGUGCAUUAGCUAGUUGGUAGGGUAACGGCCUACCAAGGCGAUGAUGCAUAGCCGAGUUGAGAGACUGAUCGGCCACAUUGGGACUGAGACACGGCCCAAACUCCUACGGGAGGCAGCAGGC